Molecule: non-coding RNA, 72 nt
Organism: Trichonephila clavipes
Lineage: Eukaryota; Metazoa; Arthropoda; Arachnida; Araneae; Nephilidae
Source: the annotation of a GenBank genome assembly
GGGGGUAUAGCUCAGUGGUAGAACAUUCGAAUGCAGAUCGAGAGGUCCCCGGAUCAAAACCGGGUUCCCCUU